UUCCUUCGAAUCCCGGAGAGGGAUUCCUUCGAAUCCCUGAGAGGGAUUCCUUUGAAUUCCUUCGAAUCCCGGAGAGGGAUUCCUUCGAAUCCCGGAGAGGGAUUCCUUCGAAUCCCUGAGAGGGAUUCCUUUGAAUCCCUGAGAGGGAUUCCUUCGAAUCCCUAAGAGGGAUUCUCUCGAAUCCCGGAGAGGGAUUUUCUCGAAUUUAUGGGGUCACAUUCUUGUGAUACAGACGUUGAGAAUUUCUAAGACUAACUAGAAUCACCUGAUGGAUAAACCUAGGAUCAAGUAGGUCAUCAUCGGAUAGCUCUUGGAGUUCUGAUCGCCUUUAUCGAAAAGCCAAACUUCAACUGACCAGUUUUGUAAAUUCUGCAUAAAAUAAUGUUUCUUUCCGUCUCUGAGUAAAGUAAUACUUCCCAUCAAAUCGAACACGAUACACCAUCGGUGAUCAAAACAAGACUUGAAGGAGCAACUUUUUAAAGUCAAGUGGGUACACACAGCAGUCAGCCAGUUGUACGACUAUUACGACGCGAUGGCAGCAAUCCAGUCGCAGUGUGGCUCUGGUGGUGCGUUAUUUAUUGUCUUGAGGUCUCAAGUGUUGAACGAGCGAGCGGUACGAGCACUCAGAAUACAGAAGAAAUCAACAAAAAUAUCGAAUUUGAUACAAAACAAAAAACAAACGAACAAGGAGUGUUUUGGCUGCUGACGAAAGACGAUAGUCCCUGGCUGAUGGAUGGGAGUUGUGACAACCCGAUCAAAUGAGAAUGACAACAUUUGAACAGGGCAUAGCUGUCAACCGUUCCUCGUUACAUCCCCUUGAGAAUGGCCUUAUAAAUGAGCCGAAACGUCGGAUAAAGGAAAACUCACCGGUUUGAAUAUCCCAAGACUGAAGAAGCCAAUUUUUCAAAAAAAAAAGUAAAAGAACCUUUGUUACUCGAAUUGUAACACAUUAUAGUAUCAAUUUGUAUCAGUUUAUACCAAGCCUGUAAAAAAAACUAAAAAAAGGUGCUGUCAAAAUUUAAACUGUAAUUGGUAUAGUUGUGUUAUAUUCCUGUUAUGUUAAUUUUAUCGGGUAUACGAUAAUGCGGCAUUCCCGAACGAAAAAAGAUUCAAGAGAACGAUCAAGACGGAUUUAUUGUAGUGAACGUAAAUUCAAGAGGUAGCAUGUGCAAUACUGACCGUCAACGUGAGACGCAAAUAGAAUAGGAUUAAUAAAAAAGAUAAAACCGAAAAAAA
This is a long non-coding RNA of Aedes albopictus (Asian tiger mosquito), 1236 nucleotides long. RefSeq lists it as uncharacterized. The record is from RefSeq and is a predicted model, not a curated record. The transcript has 2 exons. NCBI's taxonomy places the organism in Eukaryota, Metazoa, Arthropoda, Insecta, Diptera, Culicidae.